AACGCUGGCGGCAGGCCUAACACAUGCAAGUCUUUCGGUAGCACAGAGAGCUUGCUCUCGGGUGACGAGUGGCGGACGGGUGAGUAAUGUCUGGGGAUCUGCCCGAUAGAGGGGGAUAACCACUGGAAACGGUGGCUAAUACCGCAUAACGUCGCAAGACCAAAGAGGGGGACCUUCCGGCCUCUCACUAUCGGAUGAACCCAUAUGGGAUUAGCUAGUACGCGGGGUAACGGCCCACCUAGGCGACCAUCCCUAGCUGGUCUGAGAGGAUGACCAGCCACACUGGAACUGAUACACGGUCCACACUCCUACCGGAGGCAGCAUUGGGGAAUAUUGCACAAUGGGCGCAAGCCUGAUGCACCCAUGCCGCGUGUAUGAAGAAGGCCUUCGGGUUGUAAAGUACUUUCAGCGGGGAGGAAGGCGAUGUGGUUAAUAACCGCGUCCAUUGACGUUACCCGCAGGAAGAAGCACCGGCUAACUCCGUGCCAGCAGCCGCGGUAAUACAGAGGGUGCAGGCGUUAAUCGGAAUUACUGGGCGUAAAGCGCACGCACGCGGUCUGUUAAGUCACAUGUGAAAUCCCCAGGCUUAACCUGGGAACUGCAUUU
This 606-nucleotide ribosomal RNA is filed under the name uncultured organism. RNAcentral's name for it is "SSU rRNA". It matches the Rfam family "Bacterial small subunit ribosomal RNA", at positions 32 to 628 of the family's 1533-position model. The record is from RNAcentral.